GCUAUUUUUGUGUACUAUUAUUGGUUGUCAUGCAGCUUGCUACAGAUUUCCCCAUAAUUGCAAACACAAGGCUUACUGCAUUUUACAUUUUUUAAAUGUAAUAUUUCAACGUGUUAAAUGAAGCAUAGUGAAUAAAGUCAUGGGAUCUCAAUCAGUCUGCCCUGGCUGAGUGUCUUGAUUCUUGCCCCUUAUAAACCCAGGGAACUUGGCUGCAUUAUAUAACUACUCCAUGCCUCAGUUUCCUCACCCCUAAAAUAGAGCGAAUCAUAGCAGCUGUCUUUUAGAGUUGUGAAAAUUAAAUAACGUAAUACAUGUAGAAUGUUGGCUCUUGACUGGGGGUGAUUUUGCCUCCGGGGGGGACUUCCGGCAAUGUCAGGAGACAUUUUUGGUUGUCACAACCAGAGGGCAGAAGUGUUACAGGCAGCUGAUGGGUAGAGGCCGGGAACACUCUACACUUUCUACAAUGCACAGGACUGUCCCCCACGGCAAAGAGUUCUCUGGUCCAAAAUGUCAGUAAGGCCAAUGUUGAGAAAUCCUGCUGUAGGCUGGGAAGCAGUGUCUGGCACAUGGGAAGUUCUUACUAGAUUUUAGUUAUUAUUUCCUAAGCCUUCCAAAAUCUGUAACCUGAUACUCAAGGAGAAGAGUGAUUACAGCCAACCUGUCUACAUUUCUCUCCUGUUUCUCCUUUAUACAAAGCACGGAGUCUAGCCAGCUGGGCCUAUUCACUGAGCUUUGACUAUGUCAUGCCCAUGCCUAAGCCUGGAUCUUGGUCCCUCUACCUGGAUCUCGUCACCCACGAGACCCAGACUGGAGGACAGCUCCUAUCAGGCAUAUUGCUGGUAUCUUGACAGAGGAAGACAGGAUGCAGAGCCAGAAGAUUCUGUUCAGAAGUGGCACAACAACCAAAAAACAAAACAACUCUUGAUUUCGGCUUAGGUCAUGAUCCCAGGGUCAUGGUAUCAAGCCCCAAGUCGGGUUCUGUGUUGAGCGUGGAGUCUGCUUGAGAUUCAUUCUCUCUCUGUCUCUCUCUCUCUCUCUCACUCUCCCUCUGCCUCUCUCCCCAGCUUGUGCUCUCUCUAAAAAAAUAAAUAAAUAAAUAAAUAAAUAAAUAAAUAAAUA
This 1119-nucleotide long non-coding RNA is filed under the name Felis catus (domestic cat). RNAcentral describes it as "lncRNA (ENSFCAG00000042581.2)". Lineage: Eukaryota; Metazoa; Chordata; Mammalia; Carnivora; Felidae. The record is from RNAcentral.